RNAcentral lists this long non-coding RNA (221 nucleotides) under Capsicum annuum. RNAcentral describes it as "long non-coding RNA (CANN_LNC021376)". The record is from RNAcentral. Lineage: Eukaryota; Viridiplantae; Streptophyta; Magnoliopsida; Solanales; Solanaceae.
AGCAUCGAGAGGUCAAAAUUAAGUGUCAACAGCAGCUGAAGCAGACAUGUUAUAAAUGUCUAUUUUAUUUUUUAUUAAAUAUUAUUAAUUUUUUAAUAUGUAAAUGACUUAUAAUAAUUAAUUAGGGGUAAUAUAGUAAAAUCACAGAGUAGCUAAAGUAGGUGAAGAAGCAGGCAUGUCGACAAAGUGUUGCCUACUUCUUUACACUUAUUAAUAAUAGU